RNAcentral lists this ribosomal RNA (356 nucleotides) under uncultured bacterium. RNAcentral's name for it is "bacterial SSU rRNA". It matches the Rfam family "Bacterial small subunit ribosomal RNA", at positions 8 to 353 of the family's 1533-position model. The record is from RNAcentral.
AGAGUUUGAUCCUGGCUCAGGAUGAACGCUAGCUACAGGCUUAACACAUGCAAGUCGGAGGGGCAGCAUGAACUUAGCUUGCUAAGUUUGAUGGCGACCGGCGCACGGGUGAGUAACACGUAUCCAACCUGCCGAUGACGUCGGGGAUAGCCUUUCGAAAGAAAGAUUAAUACCCGAUGGCAUAGUUCUUCCGCAUGGUGGAACUAUUAAAGAAUUUCGGUCAUCGAGUGGGGAUGCGUUCCAUUAGGUUGUUGGCGGGGUAACGGCCCACCAAGCCUUCGAUGGAUAGGGGUUCUGAGAGGAAGGUCCCCCACAUUGGAACUGAGACACGGUCCAAACUCCUACGGGAGGCAGCA